CGAAGCGUCGCCACCCAGUGUUAUCGGAGCGCGCGCAGCGGUGUUGGGCCCUGGACGUCACCACGACUCCGCCAGUUCUAAGGUGGUAGGCGCGCCUCCUCUGCUUCCCCACCUGCCUCCUGGCCGAGGCCUUGCUCGUACCCAACCCAUCCCUCCAAGCAACACCCUCUUCACCCUCGACCAGGACUGUCCAUCCAGCUCACCUCGGUGUCCCCUCAAGGCAUGGAGCAAGAGAAGGAGACAUUAGGAGAACUCCACUGCCCUUCCUUACUUUGAACUCAUCUGGGCCUUUUGUGAGGCCUUGCCGGACUUCCUUUUCCAGCUCCCACAUUGCCCCGUGCUGACCCCAUUAAAGCCCCUAUUCCCUUA
This is a long non-coding RNA of Lagenorhynchus albirostris (white-beaked dolphin), 369 nucleotides long. RefSeq lists it as uncharacterized. The transcript is spliced from 2 exons. Lineage: Eukaryota; Metazoa; Chordata; Mammalia; Artiodactyla; Delphinidae. The record is from RefSeq and is a predicted model, not a curated record.